CGCGUAGGCGGCCUUCUAAGUCAGACGUGAAAUCCCCCGGCUCAACCUGGGAACUGCGUCUGAUACUGGAGGGCUUGAAUGCGGGAGAGGGAUGUGGAAUUCCAGGUGUAGCGGUGAAAUGCGUAGAUAUCUGGAGGAACACCGGUGGCGAAGGCGGCAUCCUGGACCGACAUUGACGCUGAGGCGCGAAAGCUAGGGUAGCAAACGG
This 208-nucleotide ribosomal RNA is filed under the name uncultured Acidobacteriota bacterium. Its description in RNAcentral is "uncultured Acidobacteria bacterium partial 16S ribosomal RNA". It matches the Rfam family "Bacterial small subunit ribosomal RNA", at positions 568 to 775 of the family's 1533-position model. The record is from RNAcentral. Lineage: Bacteria; Pseudomonadati; Acidobacteriota.